Molecule: unclassified non-coding RNA, 197 nt
Filed under: plant metagenome
Description: partial contains small subunit ribosomal RNA, internal transcribed spacer 1, and 5.8S ribosomal RNA
Source: RNAcentral
UCUCCGUUGGUGAACCAGCGGAGGGAUCAUUACCGAGUGCAAACUCAUAACCCUUUGUGAACCUAUAUCUGUUGCCUCGGCGGCUCGCUCUCGGGCGAGCCCGCCGGUAAUAUCAGUAUCUCUGUUUGAACCCGACGAUACUUCUGAGUGUUCUUAGCGAACAGUUAAAACUUUUAACAACGGAUCUCUUGGCUCUA